Molecule: unclassified non-coding RNA, 354 nt
Filed under: soil metagenome
Description: partial contains 5.8S ribosomal RNA, internal transcribed spacer 2, and large subunit ribosomal RNA
Rfam family: 5.8S ribosomal RNA (bases 1-120)
Source: RNAcentral
GAUGAAGAACGUAGCGAAAUGCGAUAAGUAAUGUGAAUUGCAGAAUUCAGUGAAUCAUCGAAUCUUUGAACGCACAUUGCGCCCGCCAGUAUUCUGGCGGGCAUGCCUGUUCGAGCGUCAUUACAACCCUCAGGCCCCCGGGCCUGGCGUUGGGGAUCGGCGGAAGCCCCCUGCGGGCACAACGCCGUCCCCCAAAUACAGUGGCGGUCCCGCCGCAGCUUCCAUUGCGUAGUAGCUAACACCUCGCAACUGGAGAGCGGCGCGGCCACGCCGUAAAACACCCAACUUCUGAAAUGUUGACCUCGGAUCAGGUAGGAAUACCCGCUGAACUUAAGCAUAUCAAUAAGCGGAGGA